ACGCUCGACACCUACGGGAGUCAGCAGUAGGGAAUCUUCCACAAUGGACGCAAGUCUGAUGGAGCAACGCCGCGUGAGUGAAGAAGGUUUUCGGAUCGUAAAGCUCUGUUGUUGGUGAAGAAGGAUAGAGGUAGUAACUGGCCUUUAUUUGACGGUAAUCAACCAGAAAGUCACGGCUAACUACGUGCUAGCAGCCGCGGUAAUCUGAGCGGGCUGGCAAGGC
RNAcentral lists this ribosomal RNA (223 nucleotides) under uncultured bacterium. RNAcentral's name for it is "partial 16S ribosomal RNA". It matches the Rfam family "Bacterial small subunit ribosomal RNA", at positions 328 to 539 of the family's 1533-position model. The record is from RNAcentral.